GCCGGUCCUCGGUAGUGGCCUCCGGGAUGACGCAUCGCGCCCCGGCGGCUUCGAUCGAAGACCGGU
The sequence is a regulatory RNA element, 66 nucleotides long. It matches the Rfam family "Actino-pnp RNA". The record is from Rfam.